RNAcentral lists this ribosomal RNA (753 nucleotides) under Triticum aestivum (bread wheat). RNAcentral describes it as "partial small subunit ribosomal RNA". The record is from RNAcentral. Lineage: Eukaryota; Viridiplantae; Streptophyta; Magnoliopsida; Poales; Poaceae.
AUGGAGAUCAUCAGCAGUUUUGGGAACGCAUCGGGUUUGCAUCUUAACAUCAACAAGUCAUCAGUCACGCCCAUUAGACGUGAGAACAUUAAUCUUCAAGAGGUUCUGCAGAACUUUGGCGGCAGCAUUAAUGAGUUCCCGAUCAAGUACCUUGGUCUCCCAAUCAUUUUGGGGCGAAUCAGACUCGUUCAUCUCCAGUUCAUUUUGGACAGAAUUAGAGCCCGUUUGGCAGGGUGGAAGGGCCGGCUGAUGUAAAUUGCUGGGAGGAGGGUGCUAGUCAGAAGUGUGCUGUCAGCCAUCCCUACUUUCGCCCUCUCCGUGCUGCAUCCACCCAAAGGAAUCUUCAGAGAAAUCAACAAAGUGCGCAGGCGGUUCCUAUGGGCACAAGAUGAUCGGCUAAACGGUGGCCACUGCAAGGUGGGAUGGAAGAAAGUCUGCACACCAGUUGAUCGCGGGGGCCUCGGUAUUCUUGAUCUCAAUAAAUUCUCAAGAGCUUUGCGCCUCAGAUGGAUAUGGCUAUCCUGGCAAAAUAGCGACCGCCCUUGGAAAGGUUCUGCGCUUCCCUGUGAUGCAGGAGACUGGGAAUUCUUUGACAAAGCAACAUCAGUUACCCUGGGCAAUGGCCAGAUUGCUUCGUUCUGGCGAUCCUCAUGGCUUACAUCUCCCUGCCUGGCAACUUUAUUCCCGGAUCUGUACAAGCACUCCAGGGGGAAAACCAAAUGUGUGGCUGAUGCUCUAGCAAAUGACUCCUAG